UACGAAGGGGGCUAGCGUUGUUCGGAAUUACUGGGCGUAAAGCGCGUGUAGGCGGGUCUUUAAGUCUGGGGGGAAAUGCCAAGGCUCAACCUUGGAACUGCGUCGGAUACUGGAUGGCUUGAAUUCGGGAGAGGGAUGCAGAAUUCCAGGUGUAGCGGUGAAAUGCGUAGAUAUCUGGAGGAAUACCGGUGGCGAAGGCGGCAUCCUGGACCGACAUUGACGCUGAAAACCGAAAGCUAGGGGAGCAAACGGG
Molecule: ribosomal RNA, 253 nt
Filed under: uncultured bacterium
Lineage: Bacteria
Description: partial 16S ribosomal RNA
Rfam family: Bacterial small subunit ribosomal RNA
Source: RNAcentral